RNAcentral lists this long non-coding RNA (288 nucleotides) under Vicia faba (fava bean). Lineage: Eukaryota; Viridiplantae; Streptophyta; Magnoliopsida; Fabales; Fabaceae. The record is from RNAcentral.
AUGAUCCUUCGUUUAACUCAGCCUUCUUCCAUUCAUGAUUUCAUCAUCUCACUCUCUGGCGAUAUCUCUUCUUCUCCUCUCUCAACAAACACCUCAACUAACCUCCAUAGUCAUCCUGCUCGCUCUCAACACAAAGAAGCUUCACACUGUAAAAAUAGAAUAGACGGAGAAAUAACGCUUACCGACCGGAGCAACACCAGCCAUUCUUCAAGAGUGAUGAGAUCGAAACACGAGAAACCAAUUUUGAUGCGAUUGGAGGGAACGGAGAUGAUGUUGAUGUUGUUGUAG